Molecule: ribosomal RNA, 500 nt
Filed under: Mycolicibacterium mucogenicum
Lineage: Bacteria; Bacillati; Actinomycetota; Actinomycetes; Mycobacteriales; Mycobacteriaceae
Description: bacterial SSU rRNA
Rfam family: Bacterial small subunit ribosomal RNA
Source: RNAcentral
UGGAGAGUUUGAUCCUGGCUCAGGACGAACGCUGGCGGCGUGCUUAACACAUGCAAGUCGAACGGAAAGGCCCUUCGGGGUACUCGAGUGGCGAACGGGUGAGUAACACGUGGGUGAUCUGCCCUGCACUUUGGGAUAAGCCUGGGAAACUGGGUCUAAUACCGAAUAGGACCACGCGCUUCAUGGUGUGUGGUGGAAAGCUUUUGCGGUGUGGGAUGGGCCCGCGGCCUAUCAGCUUGUUGGUGGGGUAAUGGCCUACCAAGGCGACGACGGGUAGCCGGCCUGAGAGGGUGACCGGCCACACUGGGACUGAGAUACGGCCCAGACUCCUACGGGAGGCAGCAGUGGGGAAUAUUGCACAAUGGGCGCAAGCCUGAUGCAGCGACGCCGCGUGAGGGAUGACGGCCUUCGGGUUGUAAACCUCUUUCANNAGGGACGAAGCGNAAGUGACGGUACCUAUAGAAGAAGCACCGGCCAACUACGUGCCAGCAGCCGCGGUA